CAACACCAUAACUCCUCGCAAACCGAGACCUAUAGGGAGUAUAAAACAUCGUCUCUUUAUCCAGUAGUGAGGGAUUACUGGAAAUAAGUUUCGCA
RNAcentral lists this non-coding RNA (95 nucleotides) under unclassified sequences. RNAcentral's name for it is "PhotoRC-II RNA". It matches the Rfam family "PhotoRC-II RNA". The record is from RNAcentral.